This 1053-nucleotide long non-coding RNA is filed under the name Oreochromis niloticus (Nile tilapia). RNAcentral's name for it is "lncRNA (ENSONIG00000032424.1)". The record is from RNAcentral. Lineage: Eukaryota; Metazoa; Chordata; Actinopteri; Cichliformes; Cichlidae.
AUGACAGAUGAGGAGCUGAAGACUUAUUUGCCAUCAUAUGGUGAUCGUCUAGCAGUAUUUGGAUUUUGCAGACGGAGGGGCAGCAGCCGCAAGUCAGCGCUUUUUGAACGGCUGAAAUCCAAACUGUCCAAAAGAAAAUUAUCUGAAGAGGAUGGCAGUAGUACACGGCAAGAAGAACAUUCCCAAACAACCCAUAAAAGAAAUGCUCUGAAGAGAAAUAGAAAAAUAGAAAUAGGAUGGAUGCAUUAUGAUGAAGACACUGAGGUUUUCAAGCAGGUUAGAGCUAGACGAGGAGGAGGAACAAGAAAAAUAGACAUUUGCAAGGAUGCCAAGAAAAGGGACAUAUUACAGGUUGCAACAGGCUUGUUCUUUCCAGAUGGAGGAAACAUUCAGGGGCCCUUAACAGAUUUCGACUGUGAUCUAAAGGAUUAUCAAGAGAUGAUAGUCGAUGAUGCAUUGACAGUAGGAGAACUUUAUCAUGUCACAAAACUAAAUAUCCUCAGGUUCUACCUCACCACAAAGAAAAAACAAAAUGACAGCCUUCAGAGUUCCAGCCCAGGUUUGCAUCCAUCUUCAGAAAUUGAAGAGAGUCCUCAAAACCAAACCUCUUCUUUUACUGUCACUACAGUCCAAACAUCUGCUCCAUUUGAAACAAUCAGCCAUGAUGUGCCAUACAUUGAAGACACUCCAAACGAUAACCUUCCACAAUCUUCCACGCAGUCUCUAAGUGCUAACACUUCUCACAGCAGUGACAUUAUUUUUGUUGGCCCCUUUUCUGACAGUGAGCCAAUAAAUUUGGAUGACACCCUGAUUUUUUCUCCACACCCUGGUCCAUCCAGUGAGAGAGUGAGGAGAGUAGUGGUGGUCCACAGAGGGCAGGUAAUGUCAGAGCUCAUUUCACAUUUUAGUGAUAAGGACCUUGAAGAUGUCGACAUCAAAAUCCAGUUCGUACUGCCUGAUGGAACACCUGAAAUGGCCCAUGACGAUGGGGGAGUUGUGAGAGAUUGUCUUUCAGAAUUCUGGAAAGAAUUCUAUGACCAGUGCCCUUCUUAA